This 425-nucleotide ribosomal RNA is filed under the name uncultured bacterium. Its description in RNAcentral is "bacterial SSU rRNA". It matches the Rfam family "Bacterial small subunit ribosomal RNA", at positions 359 to 776 of the family's 1533-position model. The record is from RNAcentral.
GAAUAUUGGACAAUGGGCGCAAGCCUGAUCCAGCCAUGCCGCGUGUGUGAAGAAGGCCUUCGGGUUGUAAAGCACUUUCAGCGAGGAGGAAGGGUGUUGUGUUAAUAGCACAGCAUUUUGACGUUACUCGCCGAAGAAGCCCCGGCUCACUCCGUGCCCGCCGCCGCGGUUAUACGGAGGGUGCAAGCGUUAAUCGGAAUUACUGGGCGUAAAGCGCGCGUAGGCGGUUUGGUAAGUCGGUUGUGAAAGCCCCGGGCUUAACCUGGGAAUUGCAGUCGAUACUGCCUGACUAGAGUAUGGUAGAGGGAAGUGGAAUUUCCGGUGUAGCGGUGAAAUGCGUAGAUAUCGGAAGGAACACCAGUGGCGAAGGCGACUUCCUGGGCCAAUACUGACGCUGAGGUGCGAAAGCGUGGGGAGCAAACAGG